RNAcentral lists this ribosomal RNA (425 nucleotides) under uncultured bacterium. Its description in RNAcentral is "bacterial SSU rRNA". It matches the Rfam family "Bacterial small subunit ribosomal RNA", at positions 355 to 796 of the family's 1533-position model. The record is from RNAcentral.
UUAGGAAUCUUGCGCAAUGGGCGAAAGCCUGACGCAGCAACGCCGCGUGAGGGAUGAAGGCUCUCGGAUUGUAAACCACUUUCAGCAGGAACGAAAUUGACGGUACCUGCAGAAGAAGCUCCGGCCAACUACGUGCCAGCAGCCGCGGUAAUACGUAGGGAGCAAGCGUUGUCCGGAUUUAUUGGGCGUAAAGAGCUCGUAGGCGGUUAAGUAAGUCAGGUGUGAAACCUCCAGGCUCAACCUGGAGACGCCACUUGAUACUGCUUUGACUUGAGUUCGGUAGGGGUAAGCGGAAUUCCUGGUGUAGCGGUGAAAUGCGCAGAUAUCAGGAAGAACACCGACGGCGAAGGCAGCUUACUGGGCCGAUACUGACGCUGAGGAGCGAAAGCGUGGGGAGCGAACAGGAUUAGAUACCCCCGUAGUCC